UGGAAAUUCGUAAGGCUCAAUAGAAUUCUAAUUGGCAAGGCAACAACACAACACAUACAAUGCUAAUCAUAACAGAAGGAACUGGUAUCGAUCUUAACAACUUGGUCAUCUUCAAGUGUCUCCUCUGUCUUUGCAAUACCAUUGUCAAGCGAGGCAAGAACAGAUGCUGAAACAACAGUGUCCUUCUAUUUGGGGCAAACAGCAAGUGAAUGAGGAAGAGAAUGAGGAGGAUGAUGAUAAUCAAGGUUACUAUAUGGAAAAUCACAGGAAUGGAAAUACAAUUAUGAAUACAAGGAGCAUUCAUAAGCUUUACCGUAAUGGAAUUGGGGGAAGUACUCCCAGUAAUGUGAGCGGAAGUGGUUCUGGUGGGAGUGCUGGCAGUGGUUUUAGAAUUAGAAUAACUACCGGAGUGAGUAUAGCUCAACCAGGACCCAAGUUUUAUGCCAAAGUUGAUCAGAAGUACACUGGAAACCCUAAUUUGAGUUCUAACUCGAAUUCUAAGCCUAAUUUUGGAGUUGGGACUGGGUCUGGAUCCGGGUUGGGGAGUAGUAGGGUUUUGAGGGGUUCAGAUGAAAUUGGGAAGAAGAGGGAGAGAGAACCGAUGGAGGAGAUGGUGGCGGCAGUCAAGGUGUUAGGAGAUGGUUUUGUGAGAAUGGAGCAGAUGAAGAUGGAAAUGGCAAGGGAGAUAGAGACCAUGAGAAUGGAGAUGGAGAUGAAACGCAGGGAGAUGAUUCUGGAGUCGCAACAGCGUAUUGUAGAGGCUUUUGCAAAGGCUUUCUCGGAGAAGAAGAAGAAGCCCAAGAGAAAAAAUCUGGUCCAGUCAGCUAGGGAGGGGGUAUUUUAGUCUUUUAGUCUUCAAUUAACGGAAAAAAAUCAACUUUUCGGAUGGAACGACCUUUUAAUUAGACGGAGUUAAACCUGAGGGACUAGUUAGAUAUUUGCGCAAAACUUGGGAUUAGUUGAUUAAUUAUGUAAAACCUGAGGGACUAAAUAAUAAAUUUUCCAAAAAAAACAAUACAGUCUAUAAAUUGUAC
Molecule: long non-coding RNA, 1034 nt
Filed under: Jatropha curcas
Lineage: Eukaryota; Viridiplantae; Streptophyta; Magnoliopsida; Malpighiales; Euphorbiaceae
Description: long non-coding RNA (JCUR_LNC000278)
Source: RNAcentral